AUACGUAGGUGGCGAGCGUUGUCCGGAAUUACUGGGCGUAAAGGAUGCGUAGGUGGAUAUUUAAGUGGGAUGUGAAAUCCCCGGGCUCAACCCGGGAACUGCAUUCCAAACUGGGUAUCUAGAGUGCAGGAGAGGAAAGCGGAAUUCCUAGUGUAGCGGUGAAAUGCGUAGAUAUUAGGAGGAACACCAGUGGCGAAGGCGGCUUUCUGGACUGUAACUGACACUGAGGCAUGAAAGCGUGGGUAGCAAACAGGAUUAGAUACCCGGGUAGUCCACGCCGUAAACGAUGGGUACUAGGUGUAGGAGGUAUCGACCCCUUCUGUGCCGUCGUUAACACAAUAAGUACCCCGCCUGGGAGUACGGUCGCAAGACUAAAACUCAAAGGAAUUGACGGGG
This 396-nucleotide ribosomal RNA is filed under the name uncultured bacterium. Its description in RNAcentral is "partial 16S ribosomal RNA". It matches the Rfam family "Bacterial small subunit ribosomal RNA", at positions 523 to 918 of the family's 1533-position model. The record is from RNAcentral.